This 506-nucleotide ribosomal RNA is filed under the name uncultured bacterium. RNAcentral describes it as "partial 16S ribosomal RNA". It matches the Rfam family "Bacterial small subunit ribosomal RNA", at positions 30 to 523 of the family's 1533-position model. The record is from RNAcentral.
AUUGAACGCUGGCGGCAUGCCUUACACAUGCAAGUCGAACGGCAGCAUGGAAGAGCUUGCUCUUCUGAUGGCGAGUGGCGAACGGGUGAGUAAAGCAUCGGAACGUACCGUGUAGUGGGGGAUAACGUAGCGAAAGUUACGCUAAUACCGCAUACGCACUGAGGUGGAAAGCAGGGGAUCGCAAGACCUUGCGCUAUACGAGCGGCCGAUGUCAGAUUAGCUAGUUGGUAGGGUAAAGGCCUACCAAGGCGACGAUCUGUAGCGGGUCUGAGAGGAUGAUCGGCCACACUGGGACUGAGACCCGGCCCAGAAUCCUACGGGAGGCAGCAGUGGGGAAUUUGGGACAAUGGGCGAAAGCCUAAACCAGCCAUGCCGCGUGAGUGAAGAAGGCCUUCGGGUUGUAAAGCUCUUUCGGCUGGGAAGAAAUCGCACAGGCUAAUACUCUGUGUGGAUGACGGUACCAGCACAAGAAGCACCGGCUAACUACGUGCCAGCCGCCGCGGUAA